GAUGAAGAACGUAGCGAAAUGCGAUACGUAAUGUGAAUUGCAAAUUCAGUGAAUCAUCGAGUCUUUGAACGCACAUUGCGCCCCCUGGUAUUCCGGGGGGCAUGCCUGUCCGAGCGUCAUUGCUGCCCUCAAGCACGGCUUGUGUGUUGGGCCCCGUCCUCCGAUCCCGGGGGACGGGCCCGAAAGGCAGCGGCGGCACCGCGUCCGGUCCUCGAGCGUAUGGGGCUUUGUCACCCGCUCUGUAGGCCCGGCCGGCGCUUGCCGAUCAACCCAAAUUUUUAUCCAGGUUGACCUCGGAUCAGGUAGGGAUACCCGCUGAACUUAAGCAUAUCAAUAAGCGGA
Molecule: unclassified non-coding RNA, 342 nt
Filed under: soil metagenome
Description: partial contains 5.8S ribosomal RNA, internal transcribed spacer 2, and large subunit ribosomal RNA
Rfam family: 5.8S ribosomal RNA (bases 1-119)
Source: RNAcentral